This 546-nucleotide ribosomal RNA is filed under the name Odontosema anastrephae. RNAcentral describes it as "eukaryotic LSU rRNA". The stretch from base 1 to 90 matches the Rfam family "5.8S ribosomal RNA", at positions 66 to 154 of the family's 154-position model. Lineage: Eukaryota; Metazoa; Arthropoda; Insecta; Hymenoptera; Figitidae. The record is from RNAcentral.
UGUGAACUGCAGGACACAUGAACAUCGACAUUUCGAACGCACAUUGCGGUCCACGGAUACAAUUCCCGGACCACGCCUGGCUGAGGGUCGUUUCUAAAUUAAAGACUGCUUAUCCAUUUUAAGUACACAUCAAUUGUGUAUAUUAUUUUGGAUUCAAGCGAAAGAAUGAAUGCUCGUUAAACUUUUAAUAGUUUGGCGUCAUUUGAAAUAAGUUGAAUACAUAUAAAUUUAUGAAUUGAUAACCAUCAAAAAAUAUUGAACGUAGCCACGUGUCAACUGAACAUGGUGUGUGUUUAAUCAUUGAAUGGUUGUCGAGUCAAUGGAGCACUAAAUAAUGAUAAAGAGCACCGACCGACAAUCUCAUUGAUGCAUUUGAAUGAAAUAAUAAUAAUAUUGAAAUAAACAAACACACACAAUGAAACAUGUCGUUGUACACAAAUAAGUGGUAUUGAAAAGAAAGGAAUGAUGAGUUAUCAUUUUUAUAUUUUAUUAUUGAUGACGACCUCAGAUUAGGCGAGACUACCCCCUAAAUUUAAGCAUAAGGGC